AGCUCUCUCUAAGAGGAGACACAGGACUCAGACUGAAGCAGUUUAUGAAGAGAUUGAUCACAGACACACAAACACACACAAACACUUCACUCAGAGAGAGGACAUACUAGAUGGUUAUGAUGAUGUCGUCAUUAUUGGACAGAGUUCUCGAGCUGUAACAGAAAGGAGGAGUCAACCAAAGAUGGAGGUUUAAUUCAAUAAGCACAACCAAUGACUCUGUUCAUUAAAUCAUUACAGUCAGAGCCGCUGCUGGCCAAAUGGGUGCCCUAAGCAGACUUUUACUGUGGUGCCCCUUUAGUUAAAAAAAAAAACAAUAAAACUUUAUUAAAAUGCUUUUGUUAUCAUUUAUAAUUGUAUUUUAAUAGCAACACAAAUUACAAUUAUACAAAUAUGCAAUUACGUAUUAUAGCCUGAACCUGUGUAGCUAAUGGACUUUAGCUUAAUCCCAUGUGUCAAAGCUACAUGUCAGCAUAAAUCCAAGCAAAUGUCUUUCUUGUAAGUAAAUUAAAAGUCAGCUUUAAGAAAACAACAGAUGUCUAUUAACAAAAGCAAAAGUUGGUAUGUAUGGUUUUGUUCUCAAUAUAAUACAGAUGCGGCUGUAAUGAUAACAGUUAUGGGAUCUCAGAGAAGUUUAAGUUUUCAAUUUGCCUUAUUUGAGGCUUAUAUUCAUACAGUACAGCAGAAAUUUUUAUUCAGUUCUGGUCUUGUAAUAUAAUUUUUGACAGAUUUGGUAAUGCUCUUUUGUACUUAACUACCUAAUGAAUCAUAUCAUUCACUAUUUAUGUAUUUUUUUACAAAUAGAUCAAAUCAUAAAAAUAAUGUUCAAUGCUGGGAGUUUGAA
Non-coding RNA from Misgurnus anguillicaudatus (oriental weatherfish), 841 nucleotides. The record is from RefSeq and is a predicted model, not a curated record. NCBI's taxonomy places the organism in Eukaryota, Metazoa, Chordata, Actinopteri, Cypriniformes, Cobitidae.